CGGACGGGUGAGUAACACGUGGAUAACCUACCUAUAAGACUGGGAUAACUUCGGGAAACCGGAGCUAAUACCGGAUAAUAUAUUGAACCGCAUGGUUCAAUGGUGAAAGACNGUUUUGCUGUCACUUAUAGAUGGAUCCGCGCCGCAUUAGCUAGUUGGUAAGGUAACGGCUUACCAAGGCAACGAUGCGUAGCCGACCUGAGAGGGUGAUCGGCCACACUGGAACUGAGACACGGUCCAGACUCCUACGGGAGGCAGCAGGU
RNAcentral lists this ribosomal RNA (263 nucleotides) under uncultured Staphylococcus sp. RNAcentral describes it as "partial 16S ribosomal RNA". It matches the Rfam family "Bacterial small subunit ribosomal RNA", at positions 99 to 354 of the family's 1533-position model. Lineage: Bacteria; Bacillati; Bacillota; Bacilli; Caryophanales; Staphylococcaceae. The record is from RNAcentral.